UACAGAGGCCCAUAGCGUUGUUCGGAUUUACUGGGCGUAAAGGGCGCGUAGGUGGCGCGACAAGUCGGAUGUGAAAUCUCCGGGCUCAACCCGGAAAGUGCGUCCGAAACUGUCAUGCUGGAGUGCGGGAGAGGGAAUCGGAAUAUAGGGUGUAGCGGUGAAAUGCGUUGAUAUCCUAUAGAACACCGGAGGCGAAGGCGGAUUCCUGGAACGUUACUGACGCUAAGGCGCGAAAGUCGGGGGAGCAAAC
Molecule: ribosomal RNA, 250 nt
Filed under: uncultured prokaryote
Description: partial 16S ribosomal RNA
Rfam family: Bacterial small subunit ribosomal RNA
Source: RNAcentral